CCUACGGGUGGCAGCAGUGAGGAAUAUUGGUCAAUGGCCGGGAGCCUGAACCAGCCAAGUAGCGUGAAGGAUGACUGUCCUACGGGUUGUAAACUUCUUUUAUCAAGGAAUAAAGUGAGGCACGUGUGCCUUUUUGUAUGUACUUUAUGAAUAAGCAUCGGCUAACUCCGUGCCAGCAGCCGCGGUAAUACGGAGGAUCCGAGCGUUAUCCGGAUUUAUUGGGUUUAAAGGGCGCGUAGAUGGGUUGUUAAGUCAGUUGUGAACGUCUGCGGAUCAACCGUAAAAUUGCAGUUGAUACUGGCUGCCUUGAGAACAGGAGAGGUAGGCGGAAUGCGUGGUGUAGCGGUGAAAUGCUUAGAUAUCACGAAGAACUCCGAUUGCGAAGGCAGCUUACCAACCGGCCACUGACAUUGAGGCACGAAAGUGUGGGUAUCAAACAGGAUUAGAUACCCUAGUAGUC
RNAcentral lists this ribosomal RNA (460 nucleotides) under uncultured bacterium. RNAcentral's name for it is "partial 16S ribosomal RNA". It matches the Rfam family "Bacterial small subunit ribosomal RNA", at positions 338 to 795 of the family's 1533-position model. The record is from RNAcentral.